CCUACACCAAGUUAUCUCUGCAUUUAAAGGCUUUGCUCAGCCACCCCUCCCUGAGACAUUUCUGGCUUAGGUACUGAGCAUCUUACUACUAUAAUGCUUUCCUCCCCUAAUAGUGGAUUUCCAUAUUAGUCCAGAUUGCAUGCUUUUCUUUGACAGUAACAAUGCCAUGACUUGGAGGGAAUGCUCACAGCCCCUCAGGCAACUGCUGUUUUCACUCCAUCUGAUUGGAAUCUUUGCGCCUGUUCCUGCUGGGGGACAUCAGAAUCCACAAAAUCCACAAUGAUCCUUCCUGAGACCAUGGCUUGCCUUGUCUGGGCCCAGCUUCUGAAGAAUCACUAUGAUUUUGCUAUAGAUUGUAAAGACCCAUCAUCGCAGCAGGCUGUGCAUGAGCUAUAUUUUCCUCUGGACAGAGUUCCAGCUGAGACCCUAUAAAGGAAGAAGAAAAAAUACAUAUGUUUCCUUCCCUACAAGUGUGAGGACAUAAUCCUACAUGGGUCCAGGAAGAAAGUAUUGGAUGUUCACUGCCAUUCCGAGGGGAAGCAGAGGGUGACAAGCUGAGAGAAAGGAAAUAAACGACCUUCCUGCUUAGGGAGGUUCAAACUAGAACCAUAAACAAAGUCCAGCCUCAGGAGUUCCACAGUCACCACCAGGCCAGUGGUAUUCCAGAGAACCCUCCCCAAUAGACUUCCUACAAUACAAUCUCCAAUUCAGAACCUGUUUCCUGGAGUCUUUAAAGAUCUGUAGUGGAUAGUUCUUCAAAGGUCAAAGUGUCACACAGACAAGUAACUGCAUGAAAUGAAGUUGGAAUUCUGGUGGCACUGCCCUGGACCACCUCCUCACAGAGCAUCCAAAUUCUGCCCAUUAGUUGAGAUGUAGCAUGUAGUCUGCCUCAUCUGUGAAGUUGUCCCUGAUCAUUUCACCACCACAAACCUCCUCUACCCAGGGAGAAACUUGAGCACACAGGGCAUCUGAUUUUAAAAUGAUUAAAAUGAACCCUUGUACAUGAUUGCUUUUUAACUGUGCCAUGGAGUCUUUUCAUUUCUGCCCAUAUUGUAUAAACUGGAUUCAGAAAUGUGACAUGAAAAGAGUGUGGUAAAGUAGAAAUAAUAUCCAAUUUGGGGUAAAAAAAGGCUUUGGUGUGAGUCCCAGAUCUACACUCAGUAACAAUAUUAAUUAGAAAUUGAUUUUUAAAAAUAAAUACAGAAAAAAAAGGCUUGGAAUAACCCAGAGACUAAUUUUCCUCACAUAACCGAGCGCAGGAAGUCAAGACUUGUGUAACUGUUCACAGAUGUGAAGACCACAGGCUUUUUCUGUCUCACUUCUCUUCCCUCCUGAGUGUAUGUGGCUUUCAUCCUCAUGCCUAUAAAAGCCUCCCAGUUAUAUGAUACCUGUUCAACUUCCAGACAUUACCUUCAGGUCCUAAAAAGAAAAGAAGGGAAAAGAUAAUGGUAAUUAAAAACAAUAGGGUGUUCCAGCUAAGGAGGUCCGAUUUUAAUCAGAAAAACCAAAAGGUUUUCCCAGAAUCCACACCAGCAGACUGCUGAUUGCAUGCCAUUGACCAGGACUGUGUUUAAUGACUCCAUUAGCUGGAAGAGAGCUGAGGAGAAGAGGCUCAGGAAAGUUAAUUAACCUCUCUUAAACCUCAAUUUCUAAAUCUUAAAAGACAGAAGAAACAAUGCCUUCAUUGUAGGGGUUUUCUGAGAAUUUGUGAAUAGCUCAAAGUGAGUAAAACUUAGCAGGUACUCUUUCAGUAGUUUUUAAAAACCAAAUAAAAAUAUAGUGUUAUUAUCAACCACCUUCUAUUAUCUAGUCAAAAAAAGCACCAUUUACAGAGUUUUCUUUCAGCUAAUCACUGAUCAAAGCCCCAUAAAUAAAAGAAUAACUAAAAUUUAAUCUUUAUAAUCAAGGAAGUAGUAAUAUAGAAGAAAAAACAUAUGUGGAGAUAUAAAAGUUCAGUGAAAUUUUACAAGUUGCUAGGAAGACCAUAUGCACACAGAAAAUGGGAGCACAGAAGAGAAAAAGGAUAAGGAUAUCUGUUGACCCUAGAGAGGGUUUCAUAGGGGAAAUGAACUACUGGGACACAAGGAAAGUGUAGCAAUUUCCAGGUGAUGAAGAGAGAAGAGCAUUCAAGAGGAGGAAUCAACAUAGGCAAAGCUGCAUAGAUACAAAGCAGCAGGGCAGAGCAUGGCAAAGCACAACUGUAACGAGUGGCAGACAUUAGGAGGAUGCUCUUUCCAUUCAUGAAAGUUACCGUGGUAGGAUUCACAUAGAGUGAGGCAGCUUUUGACACAGUGCCCAAUGAUUCCCAGCUCCUAGAGUUCAUAUCCUGUGUGACCUCCCCUUUAUGGCCCAAACCUAGUGACUUGCUUCCAAUAAAGAAAUACAGUAAAAGAAAAUGGAAUGUCACUUCCAUGAUUAGGUUACAAGUAACUCUGAUUUUCAUCUUGCAGGUAUUCUUUGUCUCCAUGUAUCUUCUCCACUGCUGAGGACAUCUCAUGGCAAAGAACUGAGAGUAGCCAACAGCUGAAAUGCAAGAAAUGGAGGACAACCCGCAGCUCAAGAGCUCUUUCAGAACAGAAUCUUGUCAACAAUCACUGAGUGAGCUUGAUAGAUUCUGUCUCUGUGGAAGCCUGAGACAACCACCUGAUACACUGAGUAAAGCCUGUGAGAGGCCCCAGAGCAAACAACCCAGCUAAGUCAUGUCUGAAUUACUGGCUCAUAGGAACUGUGCAAUGAUAAACAGUUGUUGCUCACAGCCACUAGGUUUUCUAGCCAUGUACUCCACAGUGAUAGAUAUCUAGUACACUUACCUAGAUUGCGUCAAGCAACCUUAUGGUAACUCAUUAUUGGAAUAUCCCUUAUCUAAGAAAUCAAUUAAUCAAACAAAUCCUGCUACCUUCAAAGACAAUGCCUAUUCUGACUGGUCCUCUGUAUCCCCAGCUCCCCCAAGAACUGAUUAUAGCUAUACACUCCCAGAAAUAUCCUCUCCAAUCCAUCUCACCAUACUAAGCCUUGCCUCCUACAAAGCCCAUCUUAAGCCUUCCCUUCCAAGGAAUUUUCUCUGAUCUUUCUAGAUAUCAUUAGAUUCUUCUGAAUCACAGCAUCUUUGAUUUGCAGCUAUCACUUUAUUCCUUGAUUGACUUCAGGUAGCUUUCUGUUGUAGUUAUUUUAUCUGAUAUUUAUAUUCUAAUAUGUACAAUCUGGUCAAUCCAAGGAUUUUGCAGGUUUUUAAAAAAAAUUUUGACCAAUCCUGCAUUUUUUCCAUCCCUUUGAGACAAUGACAAUAUUGAUUUUCUAGAAUUGUCCAAACAUACAAUACAGGACUUCUAGCAUGUAUUCAUUCAACUUAGAUUUUGCAAACAUUUAUGCUGCUGUUCCAAGUAUCAUGGGGAUUAAAUGAGUUUUCUUGUAAAUGCCCCCUCUUUCAGUACUGGGGUUUGAACUCAGGGCCUUACACUUGCUAGGCAGGUGCUCUUCCACUUGAGCCACUCUGCCAGUCCUAAACGCUCCUUCUUUUUAACAGCAAAUAUUCCAACAGGAAAACUGGUAAACUGUUCCAAUUGACCCAACUAGAAGUUUAAUUAAUUUACAAAACUAAAAACACUUUGGCAGUUUCAAAGAAUACCACCAAGAAAGUGAAUAACCAUUAUGGAAUAAGAGAAGAUGUUUGCAAAUUAUAUAUUUGAUGAGGAACUUACAUCCAGAAUAUGUAAAGAACAUUUACAAUUUAACAACAUCAAAAAUAACCAACCCAAUUAAA
Molecule: non-coding RNA, 3760 nt
Organism: Castor canadensis (American beaver)
Lineage: Eukaryota; Metazoa; Chordata; Mammalia; Rodentia; Castoridae
Source: RefSeq, a predicted model, not a curated record